UACGUAGGGGGCUAGCGUUAUCCGGAUUUACUGGGCGUAAAGGGUGCGUAGGCGGUCUUUCAAGUCAGGAGUGAAAGGCUACGGCUCAACCGUAGUAAGCUCUUGAAACUGUAAGACUUGAGUGCAGGAGAGGAGAGUGGAAUUCCUAGUGUAGCGGUGAAAUGCGUAGAUAUUAGGAGGAACACCAGUUGCGAAGGCGGCUCUCUGGACUGUAACUGACGCUGAGGCGGGAAAGCGUGGGGAGCGAACAGGAUUAGAUACCCUGGUAGUCCCU
RNAcentral lists this ribosomal RNA (274 nucleotides) under uncultured prokaryote. RNAcentral's name for it is "partial 16S ribosomal RNA". It matches the Rfam family "Bacterial small subunit ribosomal RNA", at positions 524 to 798 of the family's 1533-position model. The record is from RNAcentral.